UCCGGAGGAGGAAGCUCUGAAAGACAGGGGGCCCAGUGCCAUUCCGCAGGGAAUUGUCGCUUGCGUUCAGCUGUUCUACACAAUGGACUCAGUACCUGCCACUGUACCUUCUAUCACCGCUACCCCGGGGGACCCGGAACUUCUGGGACCCCUGUCUGUGCUCUACGCAGCCUUCAUAGCCAAGCUGCUGGAGUUAGUUGCUACAUUGCCUGAUGAUGUUCAGCCUGGGCCUGAUUUUUAUGGACUGCCAUGGAAACCUGUACUUAUCACUGCCUUCUUGGGAAUUGCUUCGUUUGCCGUUUUCUUAUGGAGAACUGUCCUUGUUUCACGGAACAGCAAAUUUCUGAGAAGUUGAAGACUAUCAUGAAAGAAAAUACAGAACUUGUACAAAAAUUGUCAAAUUAUGAACAGAAGAUCAAGGAAUCAAAGAAACAUGUUCAGGAAACCAGGAAACAAAAUAUGAUUCUCUCUGAUGAAGCAAUUAAAUUUAAGGAUAAAAUCAAGACACUUGAAAAAAAUCAGGAAAUUCUGGAUGACACAGCUAAAAAUCUUCGUGUUAUGCUAGAAUCUGAGAGAGAACAGAAUGUCAAGAAUCAGGACUUGAUAUCAGAAAACAAGAAAUCUAUAGAGAAGUUACAGGAUGUUAUUUCAAUGAAUGCCUCAGAAUUUUCAGAGGUUCAGAUUGCACUUAAUGAAGCUAAGCUUAGUGAAGAGAAGGUGAAGUCUGAAUG
RNAcentral lists this small RNA (731 nucleotides) under Pongo abelii (Sumatran orangutan). RNAcentral describes it as "processed transcript". Lineage: Eukaryota; Metazoa; Chordata; Mammalia; Primates; Hominidae. The record is from RNAcentral.